Molecule: ribosomal RNA, 381 nt
Filed under: uncultured bacterium
Lineage: Bacteria
Description: bacterial SSU rRNA
Rfam family: Bacterial small subunit ribosomal RNA
Source: RNAcentral
AUUGAACGCUGGCGGUAGGCUUAACACAUGCAAGUCGAGCGGUAACAGUCCUUCGGGAGCUGACGAGCGGCGGACGGGUGAGUAACGCGUAGAAAACUGCCCGGUAGUGGAGGAUAGCCCAGAGAAAUUUGGAUUAAUACUGCAUACGCUCUACGGAGGAAAGCGGGCUUCGGCUCGCGCUAUCGGAUGUGUCUGCGUGAGAUUAGCUAGUUGGUGAGGUAAUGGCUCACCAAGGCGACGAUCUCUAGCUGGUCUGAGAGGAUGAUCAGCCACACUGGGACUGAGACACGGCCCAGACUCCUACGGGAGGCAGCAGUGGGGAAUAUUGCACAAUGGGGGAAACCCUGAUGCAGCCAUACCGCGUGUGUGAAGAAGGCCUGG